RNAcentral lists this ribosomal RNA (1502 nucleotides) under Clostridium botulinum Ba4 str. 657. RNAcentral describes it as "bacterial SSU rRNA". It matches the Rfam family "Bacterial small subunit ribosomal RNA". The record is from RNAcentral. Lineage: Bacteria; Bacillati; Bacillota; Clostridia; Eubacteriales; Clostridiaceae.
AGAGUUUGAUCCUGGCUCAGGACGAACGCUGGCGGCGUGCUUAACACAUGCAAGUCGAGCGAUGAAGCUUCCUUCGGGAAGUGGAUUAGCGGCGGACGGGUGAGUAACACGUGGGUAACCUGCCUCAAAGUGGGGGAUAGCCUUCCGAAAGGAAGAUUAAUACCGCAUAAUAUAAGAGAAUCGCAUGAUUUUCUUAUCAAAGAUUUAUUGCUUUGAGAUGGGCCCGCGGCGCAUUAGCUAGUUGGUAAGGUAACGGCUUACCAAGGCAACGAUGCGUAGCCGACCUGAGAGGGUGAUCGGCCACAUUGGAACUGAGACACGGUCCAGACUCCUACGGGAGGCAGCAGUGGGGAAUAUUGCGCAAUGGGGGAAACCCUGACGCAGCAACGCCGCGUGGGUGAUGAAGGUCUUCGGAUUGUAAAGCCCUGUUUUCUAGGACGAUAAUGACGGUACUAGAGGAGGAAGCCACGGCUAACUACGUGCCAGCAGCCGCGGUAAUACGUAGGUGGCGAGCGUUGUCCGGAUUUACUGGGCGUAAAGGGUGCGUAGGCGGAUGUUUAAGUGGGAUGUGAAAUCCCCGGGCUUAACCUGGGGGCUGCAUUCCAAACUGGAUAUCUAGAGUGCAGGAGAGGAAAGCGGAAUUCCUAGUGUAGCGGUGAAAUGCGUAGAGAUUAGGAAGAACACCAGUGGCGAAGGCGGCUUUCUGGACUGUAACUGACGCUGAGGCACGAAAGCGUGGGUAGCAAACAGGAUUAGAUACCCUGGUAGUCCACGCCGUAAACGAUGGAUACUAGGUGUAGGGGGUAUCAACUCCCCCUGUGCCGCAGUUAACACAAUAAGUAUCCCGCCUGGGGAGUACGGUCGCAAGAUUAAAACUCAAAGGAAUUGACGGGGGCCCGCACAAGCAGCGGAGCAUGUGGUUUAAUUCGAAGCAACGCGAAGAACCUUACCUGGACUUGACAUCCCUUGCAUAGCCUAGAGAUAGGUGAAGCCCUUCGGGGCAAGGAGACAGGUGGUGCAUGGUUGUCGUCAGCUCGUGUCGUGAGAUGUUAGGUUAAGUCCUGCAACGAGCGCAACCCUUGUUAUUAGUUGCUACCAUUAAGUUGAGCACUCUAAUGAGACUGCCUGGGUAACCAGGAGGAAGGUGGGGAUGACGUCAAAUCAUCAUGCCCCUUAUGUCCAGGGCUACACACGUGCUACAAUGGUAGGUACAAUAAGACGCAAGACCGUGAGGUGGAGCAAAACUUAUAAAACCUAUCUCAGUUCGGAUUGUAGGCUGCAACUCGCCUACAUGAAGCUGGAGUUGCUAGUAAUCGCGAAUCAGAAUGUCGCGGUGAAUACGUUCCCGGGCCUUGUACACACCGCCCGUCACACCAUGAGAGCUGGUAACACCCGAAGUCCGUGAGGUAACCGUAAGGAACCAGCGGCCGAAGGUGGGAUUAGUGAUUGGGGUGAAGUCGUAACAAGGUAGCCGUAGGAGAACCUGCGGCUGGAUCACCUCC